Suricata suricatta (meerkat) is the source of this 556-nucleotide long non-coding RNA. RefSeq lists it as uncharacterized. NCBI's taxonomy places the organism in Eukaryota, Metazoa, Chordata, Mammalia, Carnivora, Herpestidae. The record is from RefSeq and is a predicted model, not a curated record. The transcript has 2 exons.
CUGUGAAUGGACCCUGAUGAUCACAGAGUCCCAGAAGAAAGAGAUAAGGGAGGAAAGGGAAUGGUAGAAGUAUCUCGAAGUGAGAAGGCUUGGAGGAAAAUGUAUAGACCAGAACAAAGGGUCAGUGAAUAUUAAACUGGUCCCUGCUUAAGAAGAAAUGGCUUUGCCAGUGCAUCCAAGGACACAUCUGAUAUUUCUUUUGGCCAAGAAUCAUUUUGGUUUGGGGGAUUCGUGGUUACUUCUUGUUAAGAAAGCCUUGCUCUCUGUAGCUCUGAAAGCAUGGUCCAGUUCCAGUCAUAAUUAUGAAGAAAGCCAUCGGAGGGAACCAUGAAGCUUUACGUGAUAAUAAACGUUAUUCGAAUAGAUUUACAUGCCUCGAAUGGAAAUGAGCUCGGCCAUCUCCACAGACAGACGCAUAUUAUGCUGUCUGAGGCUGGCCACUGCAAAUUUCCCUCCGUGCAAUGGCAAGACUAUUCUUAGUAAAGAGAGCUUGAACAGAUGAAGAUAAUCAUAUGGUUCUCCUAAAUUAAAUCUGUUAAGAGAGCAUAAAAGCAAA